GAUGAACGCUGGCGGCGUGCCUAAUACAUGCAAGUCGAGCGAACAGACGAGGAGCUUGCUCCUCUGACGUUAGCGGCGGACGGGUGAGUAACACGUGGAUAACCUACCUAUAAGACUGGGAUAACUUCGGGAAACCGGAGCUAAUACCGGAUAAUAUAUUGAACCGCAUGGUUCGAUAGUGAAAGACGGUUUUGCUGUCACUUAUAGAUGGAUCCGCGCCGCAUUAGCUAGUUGGUAAGGUAACGGCUUACCAAGGCAACGAUGCGUAGCCGACCUGAGAGGGUGAUCGGCCACACUGGAACUGAGACACGGUCCAGACUCCUACGGGAGGCAGCAGUAGGGAAUCUUCCGCAAUGGGCGAAAGCCUGACGGAGCAACGCCGCGUGAGUGAUGAAGGUCUUCGGAUCGUAAAACUCUGUUAUUAGGGAAGAACAAAUGUGUAAGUAACUGUGCACGUCUUGACGGUACCUAAUCAGAAAGCCACGGCUAACUACGUG
Molecule: ribosomal RNA, 497 nt
Filed under: uncultured bacterium
Lineage: Bacteria
Description: partial 16S ribosomal RNA
Rfam family: Bacterial small subunit ribosomal RNA
Source: RNAcentral